GAUGAACGCUGGCGGCGUGCUUAACACAUGCAAGUCGAGCGAAGCAGUUAAGUUGAUUUCUUCGGAUUGAUUCUUAACUGACUGAGCGGCGGACGGGUGAGUAACGCGUGGGUGACCUGCCCCAUACCGGGGGAUAACAGCUGGAAACGGCUGCUAAUACCGCAUAAGCGCACAGAGCUGCAUGGCUCGGUGUGAAAAACUCCGGUGGUAUGGGAUGGGCCCGCGUCUGAUUAGGCAGUUGGCGGGGUAACGGCCCACCAAACCGACGAUCAGUAGCCGGCCUGAGAGGGCGACCGGCCACAUUGGGACUGAGACACGGCCCAAACUCCUACGGGAGGCAGCAGUGGGGAAUAUUGCACAAUGGGGGAAACCCUGAUGCAGCGACGCCGCGUGAGCGAAGAAGUAUUUCGGUAUGUAAAGCUCUAUCAGCAGGGAAGAUAAUGACGGUACCUGACUAAGAAGCCC
This 465-nucleotide ribosomal RNA is filed under the name uncultured bacterium. RNAcentral's name for it is "bacterial SSU rRNA". It matches the Rfam family "Bacterial small subunit ribosomal RNA", at positions 28 to 493 of the family's 1533-position model. The record is from RNAcentral.